CAGUGUCUGGCUUAGCUCAUCAGCAGGAUAUUUCCUCUGCUUUACACAGUCACUCAGAGACCCACGCUGACAGAAACUGUCCCCAGAGGAACUUCUGGUGGUCUCGUUGCUGCAGCCAGGAAAGACUGAUUCUAGAGAAUUUCACUGGGCUUUUCCUGAACAGAAUGUAUUCCUUCUGCUCAAUUCACUGGCCAGGAUUUGUCACAUGGUCCCGUCCAACUAUGAAGUGCUGGGAUGUGCAGUUUUCCAUGUGCCCAGAAAAAAAGCGGGGCUGGAUUCUAGUUCCUCCCUAGAAGAGAAGGACACUUCCAUCCGCUCUGAUGGUAGGCUUCCCUGGGCCAAGUGAAGGAAAUAACACAUGCUACUCCCAAGCAGAGGGUUUGGCCAAAUAGUACUCUGCAUGCGGUACUAGAUGUUCCACACAUGCUUCUGGACUGAUCUGUCAUGAGACCUGGCAUUCAUGGGUUACAACUUUGAGAUUUUGAAAUGCAGUGUUUGCAUUGCAAGUGACAUCUGGCUGACAGGAACUUGGAGAAAUGGGAUACGAAGUGAAUGCUGCAGUUACCACAAGCAUCAUAUUUAUCAAAAGGUUUAAGAUGCAUAUUCAGUCUUUCUAAUCCAUCCUUCCAAGUCAGUGCCUUCAGACUGAUGAUCAAUUGUUUGCACUUCUUUGAACUCCCAUUAAUUUAUCUUUAUCAGCACCUAAUUCAUUGCUGUCACAUAUUAUACUCUCAAAAAAUUUGUGUGAAAUGAAUGAUGGGCUGUAACAUCUAUCAGCAGCAGCCAAAGAUAACUAGCUCACUGUCAUAAGCGUGGAAUAUCCUGAGAGGGACCCAGCUGAUGUGGCUCUGAUUGCAACGUCGAGGAUAGUCUUCUCCUUCAGAAGCAAUAUGGCUGCUGACAGCUUUUGAAAGAUUUAACAACUGGCAGCAAGAAAAACUUCCAUAGAAUCUCUUCUCUGAAAUUUUUUCUGCUGGAAAAAAGGGCAUCACUUAGCAGGCGUAAAUGUCUCAGUCACUGACUAUAAGUACAAAGGGCCCAGAAGCUGGAAUCUGAAGACAAACAUGGCUCCACUACAUUUUACUCUCAUUGCCUUGGGAAACAUUACUUAAACCAGAAGAAUCUAUUGCCCUCUUUACUUCACAGUGCUACAGAGAGGAUUACAUGAGCCAAUAUUUGUGAGUGCCCUUUGUAAAGUGAAUGUCUAGUGUAAGUCAGCACUUGCUUAUAAAGCUCCUUAAGCAUAA
Molecule: long non-coding RNA, 1247 nt
Organism: Homo sapiens (human)
Lineage: Eukaryota; Metazoa; Chordata; Mammalia; Primates; Hominidae
Gene: PKN2-AS1
Product: PKN2 antisense RNA 1
Source: Ensembl